AAGAGUCUGAGGAGCUGGGUAAGAAAAGGGGCUGAUGGGGCUGCCUGCCCCCAGCAUCCAGACACUCUGCCUAGUCCAGAAAUCCCAGAUCCAGCUCUUACUUUGUCUACUGUUUGCUCAGGGCUGACAUAUCACGUGCACAGAGCAGGGAUGUUGCAGUUGCAAGAUUCCUGCACUGAGUGAGGAGUUGGAUUAGAUGAUCUCCAAGGACCUUUCCCACUCUAUGAUUGAUAUAGGACAACUCCAAGGACAACAGGUGCCCUGUUUAGUACCAGCAUCACAGAAUCACCACCCAGCCCAUCGGACACUCUCCAGUGGGACACGCCACUGCCACCCACCUCUGAGACGCAGCUAGGUACGUCGGACAUUUCCCCGCCUAGCGAUGCCCAGUUUCCCACGCCCAACUGACUGUUAGAAGCCCCCCUCCAUGGGAGGGGGAGCCAGAGAUCAAAUCAUCUUCACCCCACAUGUGGAGGCACCAAAGGCAGUAAGUUCAACAGGUGGCGCUGAAGAGGAUCCUCCGUGUCCGUGCGUGAUCCAAGCCUACUUAAGCUAACUCCCCUCAGCACGGUGUACUUAGAUUGAGCCCUAAUUUGCUUAUUCUCUCUCACUUUCGAUAUGAUUUUUAUAUAGUGCUUUUCUGCAGCUAUUUUCAAAGACGGAUUUUUUUUUAAAAAAAAUCUGCCUCUAAAAUAUUGAUAUGCAGAACAAUAAUUUUACCGAUGUCUCCUUUCAAAACAUCAGUCUUUCCUUUAAAACUAUCGAUAUUAGUAUCAAAAUUUUUGUGAGGGGCAAAAAGAGGUUAGCAAAAGCAGUGGCUAGCAGACAAAGAAUGUACUCAGAUCGAUACUGGCCUGUUAGGUUAACGGAAUGCUUUCAAACUGGCACUGGCCAAGGGUAUCCACCCCUACUAUCCGGUCAAAAUCUGGUUUAAAGAUGAAGGACACCAAGAAAUGACAGCAGGAGGGGAUGUGAAGUUGCCCAUCAACAGACAGCAAGAGAGCAGUCUGAGCAGACACCAAGGGCACGCGCUCAGCCUUCCCCACAACAGCAAGAUAUAUUGUUUUCCUGUUUAAACUACAGUAGGGCCCCGCUUACCGGCGUUCCGUUUUGCGGCGUUCUGCUGAUGCGGUGGCUCUCAAUUAGGGGAAAUUCCCCGUUUUAAAGCCGAUUUUGCACUUUUGUGGCAUUUUGCGGCAUUUUCGCAUCAUUUUCACGCGACGCAGCCCAUUAUAGUCAAUGGAUUCCGCUUUAUGGCGAUUUCCGCUUUACAGCGGGGGCCUGGUCCCUAACCCGCCGUAUAAGUGGUGUCCUACUGUAUAGCAAUUAUUUCUAUAUUUGCUUCUAUAUGUAUAUAUUACCAUAUGCAGAUUAUAUGCAAAUCAUGAUAAGGGCCUCCCGAAGUUUGGUGGGGGCCCUGGAAGAACCAAUGAAACAUCUAGCAACUGGCAACUAACAAGUCCUUGAACAAAAUCAGCCUAGAGGUGGGGCCUGGUAUACACACAUAGCACCCGGCUGCCAAUCUCCUCAGAGGCGGUGCGGUGGAGUGGUUAGCAUGUCAGACUAGGAGAAGGAGAGAUCCGGAUUCAAAUCUCCACUUGUGGACGUCGUUGGGUGAACUUGGGCUAGUUGCUCUCUCAGUUCUAGCCUACCUCACAGGGUUGUUGUGAGGAUAAAAGUGAGGGAAUGUCCUACUUGUGGGUUUCUCGGAAGUAUCUGGUAGGACUGUGGUGGGACUGGGCUAGAUGAAUCUGGUGGUCUGAUCUAGGAGGGUUCUUCUUAUGUUCCAAUGAGUCACACACAGAACAGUGGCUCACUCAAAGGAUGAUGGGCUCACCAAGGCUGGGUUGCAAUGACUGAUUUUACUCUCAAAGUAAAUGUUUCAGAGCAGGGCUGGUUCCAGACACGCCAGGGCCCUUGGGCACAAGCCUGCUCCAGGCCCUGGUGCUCCCUUUCCGCAAUUUGCAGCAGGAUUGCUACUGCAGAUCACACGGCGAGAGCUCCGGAGCCCCCACCAUUCCCUUGCUCAACCUACCUUUCUUGGCUGUGUUGUGUGGUUGCCUGCGCAGAGCUGCCCUUAACCAAGAUGGCAGCCAAGGUUUCCCUAAGGGGCUGAAGCCUCUGCUGCCAUCUUGGCUCAUGGCAGGGAUGUGCAUGCGUAGCAGCGAUCGUGCAACGAAUCACGGAAGAGGAGCAGAGGGGUCCCUCAGGGGCCCACCUGGCCGCCCUUUGGAGCCGGCCCUGUUUCAGAGUAUAGGGAUCUAACCUGCACCUAGAGAUGGAGGAUCUGUCACUUUCAAUUCUCUGUUUCUAAUUUUUCCAAUCAUUAAGCAAUUUGCAAUUUAAAAAAAACCCUCACGAAAAUUCUUCAGCAUUAUAGUGUGAAUUUCAUAAUAAACAUAUUUUCUAUACAGUUUUGACCAAUGUACUCAUUUUUGCAAGCAGAUUAUCCUAGUAUAAUUUUUAUUUUUAUUUAAUUACAUUUCUAGACCGCCCUAUAGCAGAAAGUUCUCAGGGCGGUGUACAACAAAUAAAAUCACAAUUAAAA
This is a long non-coding RNA of Rhineura floridana, 2548 nucleotides long. RefSeq lists it as uncharacterized. The record is from RefSeq and is a predicted model, not a curated record. The transcript is spliced from 3 exons. Lineage: Eukaryota; Metazoa; Chordata; Lepidosauria; Squamata; Rhineuridae.